AGUGAUCAAUAUUUCUCUCUACCCUCAGUAAUUCUCAAAAGAACUCUGAAAACUGAAAAGUCUGACUCCCAAAGGUACAGCGGGGAAGUUACUCAAAAGUUUUGAGGCUUCAAUCAGAACUGAAGAACAAACUGAAGCUGCAGCCACUGCCAAAAGACCGAGGAGAGUGCUGGAUGGACCAUGUGCAGAGCUCCAUCCUCUGCUGCUCCUCGUCCCUCCUCCCUCUGCCAACACGAGGCAAGCUGAUGAGCUCCGUUUAUGAACAUCACUCCAAAAUGAAGAGGCAGAGGAGAAAAGGGGAAUGAAUCCCACGCACUUCCACUUCUUGCUGGUACCAUCUUGCCAAGUUGCGAGGAGGCAUCUGUAGUGAAUUGUAACACUGGUAUGUCUGGGCUCAUACCAGCUUCAGACAAGAAGCAGCAGUAAGAAAAACUCUUCUGCAAACCCUGGCAGACCCAGCAGUGACGGCCUGAGAGGCUGAAUUUCGCUCUCCGCUACCAAGUAUGCAGUAAUAAUAAAGCGGGCAGCUAAAUGGGAGAGAAAGGUGUUAAACAUCCUGCGUGUGUUAAAAUUACCCAGCGUUUUUAGCCAAAUCAGCCUCUCUGCACACGGCAGUGGAACUGUCAUGCUGUGUUGUCUAUAACC
This is a long non-coding RNA of Myiozetetes cayanensis, 645 nucleotides long. RefSeq lists it as uncharacterized. Lineage: Eukaryota; Metazoa; Chordata; Aves; Passeriformes; Tyrannidae. The transcript has 4 exons. The record is from RefSeq and is a predicted model, not a curated record.